UUUUGGAUGAGGGAGUAGGUGUGGUUUCCAUCGGAAGUGGUUUUUUAUGUGGGGCUUUCUUCGGUGCUUUUGGUUUUGACGGUGAGGGGUUUUCUCCGGUGAGAUCGAUUUCUGUUCCGUCGGGUAUGCCUCUAAGUUUGUUUUUGGGUCUGGUGGAUACCAUGGUGGCUGAUGGUGGUUUUGUAUUCGAAAGGUCGAGAAAGGGGGUGGUGAUUAUGGGAAGUUGGCUAGUUAGGGUAGAGUGACGUCGUGGGUAGAGGUUUUAGGGUUUUGGGGGUGUAAGGGCUGACAACUGUCACUUGAUGUGACGUGCGUCAGACGGUUUCGGCCGCGUUCUGCCCGAGAGCCCCCUUCUGCCCUGGAAUCAUUGCUUCUCCAAUCGACUGCUUCUUGCCCAUAACUGCUCCCCUGUCUCUGCAAAACACAUUCAAACUUCCGCGAAGGCGGGAAACUAAAACUCGCCCACAGCUGUGGGCAUAACCGGGUUCCUAGGCAAACAAAAAACGAAAAACGAAACAAACUAAAAAAAAACUAAACGGAAAUACCAGGUUACCUCCUGGCCAGUGCCCUAUUUAUCGUCCUGGGCAUGACGUGAUACCUUCCAAUUAAUCCGAGGUGCUUGUGGCUGGAUCGAGAUCCAGUUCUUCCCCAGCGUCGGGCUUAUGCCCAUAAUAGGCUUUCAGCCUUUGUCCAUUAACCUUGA
This 703-nucleotide long non-coding RNA is filed under the name Salvia miltiorrhiza (redroot sage). RNAcentral describes it as "long non-coding RNA (SMIL_LNC013240)". Lineage: Eukaryota; Viridiplantae; Streptophyta; Magnoliopsida; Lamiales; Lamiaceae. The record is from RNAcentral.